This 440-nucleotide ribosomal RNA is filed under the name uncultured Moraxella sp. RNAcentral's name for it is "bacterial SSU rRNA". It matches the Rfam family "Bacterial small subunit ribosomal RNA", at positions 358 to 789 of the family's 1533-position model. The record is from RNAcentral. Lineage: Bacteria; Pseudomonadati; Pseudomonadota; Gammaproteobacteria; Moraxellales; Moraxellaceae.
GGAAUAUUGGACAAUGGGCGAAAGCCUGAUCCAGCCAUGCCGCGUGUGUGAAGAAGGCCUUUUGGUUGUAAAGCACUUUAAGUGGGGAGGAAAAGCUAAUAGCUAAUACCUAUUAGCCCUGACGUUACCCACAGAAUAAGCACCGGCUAACUCUGUGCCAGCAGCCGCGGUAAUACAGAGGGUGCAAGCGUUAAUCGGAAUUACUGGGCGUAAAGCGCGCGUAGGUGGUUACUUAAGUCAGAUGUGAAAGCCCUGGGCUUAACCUAGGAACUGCAUCUGAUACUGGGUAACUAGAGUAGGUGAGAGGGAAGUAGAAUUCCAGGUGUAGCGGUGAAAUGCGUAGAGAUCUGGAGGAAUACCGAUGGCGAAGGCAGCUUCCUGGCAUCAUACUGACACUGAGGUGCGAAAGCGUGGGUAGCAAACAGGAUUAGAUACCCCUG